GACGAACGCUGGCGGCGUGCCUAAUACAUGCAAGUAGAACGCUGAAGGAGGAGCUUGCUUCUCUGGAUGAGUUGCGAACGGGUGAGUAACGCGUAGGUAACCUGCCUGGUAGCGGGGGAUAACUAUUGGAAACGAUAGCUAAUACCGCAUAACAGUAGAUGUUGCAUGACAUUUGCUUAAAAGGUGCAAUUGCAUCACUACCAGAUGGACCUGCGUUGUAUUAGCUAGUUGGUGGGGUAACGGCUCACCAAGGCGACGAUACAUAGCCGACCUGAGAGGGUGAUCGGCCACACUGGGACUGAGACACGGCCCAGACUCCUACGGGAGGCAGCAGUAGGGAAUCUUCGGCAAUGGACGGAAGUCUGACCGAGCAACGCCGCGUGAGUGAAGAAGGUUUUCGGAUCGUAAAGCUCUGUUGUAAGAGAAGAACGAGUGUGAGAGUGGAAAGUUCACACUGUGACGGUAUCUUACCAGAAAGGGACGGCUAACUACGUGCCAGCAGCCGCGGUAAUACGUAGGUCCCGAGCGUUGUCCGGAUUUAUUGGGCGUAAAGCGAGCGCAGGCGGUUAGAUAAGUCUGAAGUUAAAGGCUGUGGCUUAACCAUAGUACGCUUUGGAAACUGUUUAACUUGAGUGCAAGAGGGGAGAGUGGAAUUCCAUGUGUAGCGGUGAAAUGCGUAGAUAUAUGGAGGAACACCGGUGGCGAAAGCGGCUCUCUGGCUUGUAACUGACGCUGAGGCUCGAAAGCGUGGGGAGCAAACAGGAUUAGAUACCCUGAAUUAACCCUCACUAAAGGGAACAAAAGCUGGGUACGAAGUCCUAUACUUCUAGAGAA
This 834-nucleotide ribosomal RNA is filed under the name uncultured Streptococcus sp. Its description in RNAcentral is "bacterial SSU rRNA". It matches the Rfam family "Bacterial small subunit ribosomal RNA", at positions 28 to 837 of the family's 1533-position model. Lineage: Bacteria; Bacillati; Bacillota; Bacilli; Lactobacillales; Streptococcaceae. The record is from RNAcentral.